CCUACGGGGGGCUGCAGUGAGGAAUAUUGGACAAUGGGCGCAAGCCUGAUCCAGCCAUGCCGCGUGCAGGAUGACGGUCCUAUGGAUUGUAAACUGCUUUUGCACAGGAAGAAACAACGCUACGUGUAGCGUCUUGACGGUACUGUGAGAAUAAGGAUCGGCUAACUCCGUGCCAGCAGCCGCGGUAAUACGGAGGAUCCAAGCGUUAUCCGGAAUCAUUGGGUUUAAAGGGUCCGUAGGCGGUUUAGUAAGUCAGUGGUGAAAGCCCAUCGCUCAACGGUGGAACGGCCAUUGAUACUGCUAGACUUGAAUUAUUAGGAAGUAACUAGAAUAUGUAGUGUAGCGGUGAAAUGCUUAGAGAUUACAUGGAAUACCAAUUGCGAAGGCAGGUUACUACUAAUGGAUUGACGCUGAUGGACGAAAGCGUGGGUAGCGAACAGGAUUAGAUACCCAAGUAGUC
RNAcentral lists this ribosomal RNA (460 nucleotides) under uncultured bacterium. RNAcentral describes it as "bacterial SSU rRNA". It matches the Rfam family "Bacterial small subunit ribosomal RNA", at positions 338 to 795 of the family's 1533-position model. The record is from RNAcentral.